UGGCAGGAAGAGGACUUCUUUAUAGGACCAUCAGGUAAGAUUUAAAAGCUACAGGAGCCACAAAUGGAAUGAUUGAAUUGCAAGUCUUAUACUUUGGGAUGUGAAGAAGAGGUUUAUUCAACUGGAGCCUACCUUGUGGGUCAGCUUAGGUUCUUCUCAAUCCACAAUGGUGUGAGUUGGUUCAGAAAGCAGAUAAGUAUUUCCAGGACCCUCGAUGAUGCAGAAGAUUUUUGAUGUAGAAUGACGGGGGCCACAAAAUGGUUGGAUUUUGUUCAUGAAGGUUCAGGACGGCAAAAGUCAGAGAGAGAAAGAACAGAGGGUUGCAUUGUGUGGAUGCUCUUUCGAACUGCUCACGGGACAAGUCAUAUGAUGCAAGAGCUUUUAGUUGAAUCUCCCCAUCUUUCUAGCCCAGAAAUUUCCGGAAUCAGCUUCUUUGCUUGUUAUUGAAUGCCGUGAAGUUGUUCAAAACUGAAUCAUUCACAUGAUCCACACACGCCAGGAAAGAGAGAGAACAGAAAGCCGUUCAUGCGUAAUCUGCAUCAUUGAGAUGAGCUUCUUCUCAGAGUCACAUCCAUUUCUUGACAGAGAUCAAGCUGGCUUACUGGAGGAGUUAGUCUUUGGAAUCACGCAAUGGAUAUUCCUAUUUUGUGAACAAUGAUCUGGUAGCUGAUACAACGUCUCCAUGGAUGCAACUUUUCCAUCCAUAUCCACUGUGAGUAGACCUCCCUUUGAACUCAUCAAUUUGGUCCUCCAUCUAAGAAGAAUUCCAAA
Molecule: non-coding RNA, 771 nt
Organism: Musa acuminata subsp. malaccensis (wild Malaysian banana)
Lineage: Eukaryota; Viridiplantae; Streptophyta; Magnoliopsida; Zingiberales; Musaceae
Source: RefSeq, a predicted model, not a curated record